UGCCUACGGGGGGCAGCAGUGGGGAAUAUUGCACAAUGGGGGGAACCCUGAUGCAGCGACGCCGCGUGGGUGAAGGAGUAUUUCGGUAUGUAAAGCCCUAUCAGCAGGGAAGAACAAUGACGGUACCUGACUAAGAAGCACCGGCUAAAUACGUGCCAGCAGCCGCGGUAAUACGUAUGGUGCAAGCGUUAUCCGGAUUUACUGGGUGUAAAGGGAGCGCAGGCGGCGCGUUAAGCCUGGCGUGAAAGCCCGCGGCCCAACCGCGGGACUGCAUUGGGAACUGGCAAACUGGAGUGUGUGAGAGG
RNAcentral lists this ribosomal RNA (305 nucleotides) under uncultured bacterium. Its description in RNAcentral is "bacterial SSU rRNA". It matches the Rfam family "Bacterial small subunit ribosomal RNA", at positions 335 to 657 of the family's 1533-position model. The record is from RNAcentral.